RNAcentral lists this ribosomal RNA (462 nucleotides) under uncultured bacterium. RNAcentral describes it as "bacterial SSU rRNA". It matches the Rfam family "Bacterial small subunit ribosomal RNA", at positions 30 to 507 of the family's 1533-position model. The record is from RNAcentral.
AUUGAACGCUGGCGGAAUGCUUUACACAUGCAAGUCGAACGGCAGCACGAGAGCUUGCUCUUGGUGGCGAGUGGCGAACGGGUGAGUAAUAUAUCGGAACGUAUCCAAUAAUGGGGGAUAACUAAUCGAAAGGUUAGCUAAUACCGCAUACGCCCUACGGGGGAAAGCAGGGGAUCUUCGGACCUUGCGCUAAUAGAUGAGCCUAAGUCGGAUUAGCUAGUUGGUGGGGUAAAGGCCUACCGAGGCGACGAUCUGUAGCGGGUCUGAGAGGAUGAUCCGCCACACUGGGACUGAGACACGGCCCAGACUCCUACGGGAGGCAGCAGUGGGGAAUAUUGGACAAUGGGCGAAAGCCUGAUCCAGCAAUGCCGCGUGAGUGAUGAAGGCCUUAGGGUUGUAAAGCUCUUUUACCAGGGAUGAUAAUGACAGUACCUGGAGAAUAAGCUCCGGCUAACGUCCGUG